UCACCUGUGGGUGUAGCGGUUAGCACUCAGGACUCUGAAUCCUGCGACCCGAGUUCAAAUCUCGGUGGGAC
RNAcentral lists this non-coding RNA (71 nucleotides) under Caenorhabditis japonica. RNAcentral's name for it is "tRNA CJA47826". The stretch from base 10 to 65 matches the Rfam family "tRNA", at positions 9 to 63 of the family's 71-position model. Rfam says of the family: Transfer RNA (tRNA) molecules are approximately 80 nucleotides in length. Their secondary structure includes four short double-helical elements and three loops (D, anti-codon, and T loops). Further hydrogen bonds mediate the characteristic L-shaped molecular structure. tRNAs have two regions of fundamental functional importance: the anti-codon, which is responsible for specific mRNA codon recognition, and the 3' end, to which the tRNAs corresponding amino acid is attached (by aminoacyl-tRNA synthetases). tRNAs cope with the degeneracy of the genetic code in two manners: having more than one tRNA (with a specific anti-codon) for a particular amino acid; and 'wobble' base-pairing, i.e. permitting non-standard base-pairing at the 3rd anti-codon position. Lineage: Eukaryota; Metazoa; Nematoda; Chromadorea; Rhabditida; Rhabditidae. The record is from RNAcentral.